AGUACAUUAAUUUUUCUUCCUAUCAAAAUAAUUUUUACUACGUAUAAUCAAUUUGGACAGUGUUGCCAAUAAAAACAAAAAUAGAAGUGAUGAGAAAGUUCAAGUGAUUUGAUCAACGUAGUAACUUAUUUCUUUUCGGUUGAUCGGCCGCUGUCGUUUUAUGAAUUUUUCAUCGUUUUAUAUCGGCGGUGCUGCAGUUUAAUCAUUUUCCAGAAGCAACGAAGAAUAUCGAAUAGCGAUCAAAAUGAUGAACGCACGAAGGAGAAGUUAUGAAAGUAAAUUAUCGGUAUGACUGAAAUGUCGCAAUAAAAGAAAGGUGUUUGACGGAGCAGAGAAAAUAAGGAGGCAAUAAUUCAAAAAAGAAAGGAUAGAAUGAGAAAGAGAGAAAGGAGACUUUGAAGGGUGUAGAAAAAAAAAAAAGGAAAAAAAAAAAAAUCAAAGGCUUUUGGUGGUUCUUCUCGUUUCGUAAAAUAAGACCGAAAAUCCAAUAUAAAAGCAAUAUCUGAAGUGACACGGCGAACAGCACGACGGAGUUCCUCUCUCGCCCUAUCAACGAAGAAGAACAACAAACGAACGCACCAGAGAUAGAAAUUGAUCGAUAAGGGAUAAGGAACAAAGUGACGACUUACCGUAGGUGGACAAGACGAGCUGUCCCUGGAGAGACUACCGAGAGUCACCAGCAAACGACGCGGGGCCCCCAACACCGACUCUCGCCAUCCCUCUAAAAAGAAAAAGAAAAAGAUAAAUAGCUCAAGAGAAAAUUGCAUUAUUUAUCGGCUGACAUAUUUCACGAUAUUUGGUUCUGCAUUAUCCAUUUUGAUGAAUGAUAACACUUGAAGGAAUAAUAAAUAAAAAUGCAAUAAUUUUUUAAAGUGAAUUAAACGCAAAAAUGUUCAUCCAUUAUUGAACGUGAAUAUAUAACUUUUAAAAAAAUUCAAAAAAGGAAUUUCCAAUGGAAUACGUUAUUCACCCUGAUGCCUUUUGAAGAUAAAACGUUCGAAUCGAUCUUAUUCUGGAAGAAUUCGUACGUUGCAGCAGAUCCGUCUAUAAGGGCAAAGUAGGAAGUAAGAAAAGGGCAGUGGUAAGGGAAGAAGGAACGAAAAAAAAGAAAAAAAAAAAAGAAGGAAAGGAGAAAAAAAGGUUCGAUGGUCGUUCGUAGGAAAUCCUCAUUCCCAAUCCCGAAGGAACGAAAUGGCUUGAUUAACUGACGACGCGUCGUUACUGCGGCCAAGCCUCUGCUGUACUUCGUAGUAUUGCCCUAUAGGGCUCGAACCAAGGAGUUCUCGUAGCAGUAUUCGAAGGGUGCCUCAAGGCAAAAAGAAAAUGGAAAGGGGCGUACCAAGCUGGUCCUUUAUUCUACUUUGCACGAUCACGUUCGCGGUUUUUUUUACGCCUGAUAAAAAGAGCUUUGCCUCAUUUCUUUUUUCU
Long non-coding RNA from Vespa velutina, 1428 nucleotides. RefSeq lists it as uncharacterized. The transcript is spliced from 4 exons. NCBI's taxonomy places the organism in Eukaryota, Metazoa, Arthropoda, Insecta, Hymenoptera, Vespidae. The record is from RefSeq and is a predicted model, not a curated record.